Molecule: ribosomal RNA, 796 nt
Filed under: Streptomyces sp. ht1-5
Lineage: Bacteria; Bacillati; Actinomycetota; Actinomycetes; Kitasatosporales; Streptomycetaceae
Also listed under: 1 other name
Description: bacterial SSU rRNA
Rfam family: Bacterial small subunit ribosomal RNA
Source: RNAcentral
UGCAAGUCGAACGAUGAACCACUUCGGUGGGGAUUAGUGGCGAACGGGUGAGUAACACGUGGGCAAUCUGCCCUGCACUCUGGGACAAGCCCUGGAAACGGGGUCUAAUACCGGAUACUGAGGUCCGCAGGCAUCUGUGGUUCUCGAAAGCUCCGGCGGUGCAGGAUGAGCCCGCGGCCUAUCAGCUUGUUGGUGAGGUAACGGCUCACCAAGGCGACGACGGGUAGCCGGCCUGAGAGGGCGACCGGCCACACUGGGACUGAGACACGGCCCAGACUCCUACGGGAGGCAGCAGUGGGGAAUAUUGCACAAUGGGCGAAAGCCUGAUGCAGCGACGCCGCGUGAGGGAUGACGGCCUUCGGGUUGUAAACCUCUUUCAGCAGGGAAGAAGCGAAAGUGACGGUACCUGCAGAAGAAGCGCCGGCUAACUACGUGCCAGCAGCCGCGGUAAUACGUAGGGCGCGAGCGUUGUCCGGAAUUAUUGGGCGUAAAGAGCUCGUAGGCGGCUUGUCGCGUCGGUUGUGAAAGCCCGGGGCUUAACCCCGGGUCUGCAGUCGAUACGGGCAGGCUAGAGUUCGGUAGGGGAGAUCGGAAUUCCUGGUGUAGCGGUGAAAUGCGCAGAUAUCAGGAGGAACACCGGUGGCGAAGGCGGAUCUCUGGGCCGAUACUGACGCUGAGGAGCGAAAGCGUGGGGAGCGAACAGGAUUAGAUACCCUGGUAGUCCACGCCGUAAACGGUGGGCACUAGGUGUGGGCGACAUUCCACGUCGUCCGUGCCGCAGCUAACGCAUUAAGUG